UUCUUUUUGUUUUGUUUUUCAGAGUCUGGAGAACACUUUUUCUUUUGAGCUGUUUACAACCUUUAGCAAUUGAGUAGAGUGUACUCUUGUCAAUAGAAUUUGAAGCACAUUUCUCUCUCUGCCUGAUUUCUGUAGAAUUUGUAAACUAUUUGUGAAUAUUCUUAAUUUAUGGCAAUAUGGUUGCUUACAUAAGUUCAAUAAUAAUCUGUUUUCUUUUACAAUGAGACACAGUUGGAGGAACUGGUUAUUUUCCCAGGGCUUUGACUGAAAUGGCCUUGUGAAUGGUUCCAGGAAAGCCAAUUUUGGAGACCCUAUGUGGAUGAUGAUGCUUGCUGUACUUUCUGUGGGUAAUCGGGCCAAGUAUAUGGGACUGAAGCUAAUUUUGCAGGUGAGAAAAUGGAGGUCCAGAGAGAAAAGUGACUCACCCAAGCUGAAAACAGUUGCAGGAAGAAAAGCCAGGACAGAACUGGGCUGUUAGAAACCUUGGAGUACACUAAAGAUGAGGAACUGAGUCACCGCAAUGCCAAAUGUAACACGCUGUGGGUCAAAAUUUGGAUGGUUGCGUUGGAAAUUAUUCUGAAGCCACAGACAGGGCUAAAAGGUAAGUAUGAAUAAUUAGUAAUGCUUGCCAUAGACAGAUUAAAGUGUUGACAUCACAUAGGACAAGAAUUUGCCACCAAUAGAUGAGAGGAUUGUUGAUGUCCUUGAAUUGGAAAUGAACGAGCUAAUUGGUUAGUUACUUAUUCACUCUAACCCAGAAAGCAGCAGCUUGUGAAAAAAGUUUUUGCUGGUAACACACAGGAAAUAGAAAAUUUAGUAUUUUUUCCAGUGGAAAAGCCCUCUUGUAUCACCAAGCAGAAGAGAACAUGAUGUCUUUUCUUUUGAUGUAAUUUAGGAUGAUUCACAAAGUGUUCAUAGCAGGGAAGCUGAUGGAAAAGUGACAUGCCCCUAGACUUGAGAGAUGCUCUCUAAGUUUAAAAAGGAAACAGCUUAUUGUAAAAUUUAUUUGAAUCCUACAACCUUCCCAUAUCUGUGUAAUUAGCAAAAAGACAAGCUGCAACCAGAGAGGUAAAGUAUCAAUUUAUCUCAUACUUAUUUAUUGAGAACAUCCUCUGAGCUGUGUACUAUGUUAGGCAGAGAAAACAAACAAUAAGCAAGACACAGUCCCUGACUCCAUAUGAUUAUCAGGGAGGCUAGGAAAAGUCAUCUCUGCUUGGACAACUCCUUUCCAGAAAUACCUCUCUUCUCUUAAAGGGACAUG
Molecule: long non-coding RNA, 1261 nt
Filed under: Homo sapiens (human)
Lineage: Eukaryota; Metazoa; Chordata; Mammalia; Primates; Hominidae
Description: HSALNT0349895
Source: RNAcentral